UGGGGAAUAUUGCACAAUGGGCGCAAGCCUGAUGCAGCCAUGCCGCGUGUAUGAAGAAGGCCUUCGGGUUGUAAAGUACUUUCAGCGGGGAGGAAGGGAGUAAAGUUAAUACCUUUGCUCAUUGACGUUACCCGCAGAAGAAGCACCGGCUAACUCCGUUCCAGCAGCCGCGGUAAUACGGAGGGUGCAAGCGUUAAUCGGAAUUACUGGGCGUAAAGCGCACGCAGGCGGUUUGUUAAGUCAGAUGUGAAAUCCCCGGGCUGAACCUGGGAACUGCAUCUGAUACUGGCAAGCUUGAGUCUCGUAGAGGGGGGUAGAAUUCCAGGUGUAGCGGUGAAAUGCGUAGAGAUCUGGAGGAAUACCGGUGGCGAAGGCGUCCCCCUGGACGAAGACUGACGCUCAGGUGCGAAAGCGUGGAGAGCAAACAGG
This 429-nucleotide ribosomal RNA is filed under the name Chloroflexota bacterium. RNAcentral's name for it is "Chloroflexi bacterium partial 16S ribosomal RNA". It matches the Rfam family "Bacterial small subunit ribosomal RNA", at positions 355 to 776 of the family's 1533-position model. The record is from RNAcentral. Lineage: Bacteria; Bacillati; Chloroflexota.